UCCGAUUUGUCACCGGCGGUCUCCCUAGAGUGCCCAACUGAAUGUAGCAACUAGGGACAAGGGUUGCGCUCGUUGCGGGACUUAACCCAACAUCUCACGACACGAGCUGACGACAGCCAUGCAGCACCUGUGUUACGGCUCCCUUUCGGGCACACCCAGCUCUCGCUGGGCUUCCGUACAUGUCAAGGGUAGGUAAGGUUAUUCGCGUUGCAUCGAAUUAAUCCACAUCAUCCACCGCUUGUGCGGGUCCCCGUCAAUUCCUUUGAGUUUUAGUCUUGCGACCGUACUUCCCAGGCGGAGAACUUAAUGCGUUAGCUGCGGCACUGCAGGGGUCAAUACCCGCAUCACCAAGUGCCCAUCGUUUACAGCGUGGACUAC
RNAcentral lists this unclassified non-coding RNA (378 nucleotides) under uncultured Gammaproteobacteria bacterium. Its description in RNAcentral is "contains 16S-23S intergenic spacer region". Lineage: Bacteria; Pseudomonadati; Pseudomonadota; Gammaproteobacteria. The record is from RNAcentral.